This is a long non-coding RNA of Sesamum indicum (sesame), 720 nucleotides long. RefSeq lists it as uncharacterized. Lineage: Eukaryota; Viridiplantae; Streptophyta; Magnoliopsida; Lamiales; Pedaliaceae. The record is from RefSeq and is a predicted model, not a curated record.
AGUUGGAACUUGGAACCGACCGCCUCCCACCGGCCCCUGCCCGCACUACAUUAACAGCGCAUUUAUUGUCGCCAAAUGCUAUAUAUUGAGGGAGGAAAAGAUUGGAAAAAAAAAAAAAAAUUAGAUAAAAACCCAAUAUAUUUGCGAAAGAAAUUGAUAUUCUAUCGACUUUUUCCAAUUUCCGCCUGCAAAUUGUUCACCAACCAUGACAACUUCAAGGCGUUUGUCAGAUAGGAAGGUGAUGAAGUUUGAGAAGAACAUAAAGAAGAGAGGUGCAACAGCUGAAACAACUAAGAAGAAAGGCAGUUCUUAUCCUGUGGGUCCUGUGGUGCUUGGGUUCUUCAUAUUUGUCGUCAUUGGAUCUUCUAUAUUUCAGAUUAUCCGUACUGCGGCAAGUGGAGGAAUGGCUUGACAACUAAUGCCAGUAAAUUAGCAAUGAGUUUAACUAUAGGUGGAUUAUCAAUGAUGUAAGAUAUAGGUUUGUCAUCAACUGUCGGCAUGGACUGAUUAUGUCCUGGUGAAGUAAAAGUGAUGUGUGGAUUCUUAUGAUAGUAAUGGAUUAGUUCACACAUCUAUCUUUGAGAAAAGGCUGUUGGUUUAAUGGAUCUACUCUUUUUGUAUUUGCAUUUUAUCAAAUUGCUUCUGCUUUCAGGUUUGCCCACGGGGUUCGAGGGCUUAUUUAGUGUUCUUCUUAUACCAAUAUGUAUAAUUCAACUCUCA